RNAcentral lists this ribosomal RNA (428 nucleotides) under uncultured bacterium. RNAcentral's name for it is "partial 16S ribosomal RNA". It matches the Rfam family "Bacterial small subunit ribosomal RNA", at positions 354 to 796 of the family's 1533-position model. The record is from RNAcentral.
GUAGGGAAUAUUGGACAAUGGGGGUAACCCUGAUCCAGCGACGCCGCGUGAGUGAUGAAGGCCUUCGGGUCGUAAAGCUCUGUUGCAGGGGAAGAACACAAUGACGGUACCCUGCUAGAAGGGAUCGGCUAACUUCGUGCCAGCAGCCGCGGUAAGACGAGGGAUCCUAGCGUUGUUCGGAAUUAUUGGGCGUAAAGCGGGUGCAGGUGGCUUGGUAAGUCAGAUGUGAAAGCCUGGGGCUUAACCCCAGAAGUGCAUUUGAUACUGCUGAGCUUGAGUGCUGGAGAGGCUAUUAGAAUUCCUGGUGUAGUGGUGAAAUACGUAGAUAUCAGGAGGAAUACCGGAGGCGAAGGCGGAUAGCUGGCCAGACACUGACACUCAGACCCGAAAGCUUGGGGAUCAAACAGGAUUAGAAACCCCUGUAGUCC